RNAcentral lists this ribosomal RNA (482 nucleotides) under uncultured bacterium. RNAcentral's name for it is "partial 16S ribosomal RNA". It matches the Rfam family "Bacterial small subunit ribosomal RNA", at positions 28 to 507 of the family's 1533-position model. The record is from RNAcentral.
GAUGAACGCUAGCGGCAGGCCUAAUACAUGCAAGUCGGACGGGAUUCAGGAGCUUGCUUCUGAUGAGAGUGGCGCACGGGUGCGUAACACGUAUGUAACCUACCUUUAUCAGGGGGAUAGCCUCUCGAAAGAGAGAUUAAGCCCGCAUAAAAUCACAGCACAGCAUUGUGUAAUGAUCAAAUAUUUAUAGGAUAAAGAUGGGCAUGCGGAACAUUAGCUAGAUGGCGGGGUAACGGCCCACCAUGGCGACGAUGUUUAGGGGAUCUGAGAGGAUGGCCCCCCACACUGGUACUGAGACACGGACCAGACUCCUACGGGAGGCAGCAGUAAGGAAGAUUGGUCAAUGGGCGGAAGCCUGAACCAGCCAUGCCGCGUGCAGGAAGACGGCCCUACGGGUUGUAAACUGCUUUUAGACGGGAAUAAACCCAGAUACGUGUAUCUGGCUGAAUGUACUGGAAGAAUAAGGAUCGGCUAACUCCGUG